Molecule: long non-coding RNA, 1217 nt
Organism: Diceros bicornis minor
Lineage: Eukaryota; Metazoa; Chordata; Mammalia; Perissodactyla; Rhinocerotidae
Exons: 4
Source: RefSeq, a predicted model, not a curated record
GUGAGCGUCGGCUCGGUGUUAGUACCAGCUGGCAGAGCCUGUCCUCCUUCCUUGCUGAUUACCUCCCUCAGCAUGCGUCCAGUCAGAAGAGCAUAUGGCCUCUACUCCCACUUGAUUCAAUUGCUACCAUUUCCAGAGACGUCUUUGACUCUCUCCCCAGUAUUCACGUUGAGAAAACCUGUGAACUUCUUCCCAAGCUUGGGCAGAGGAGAGUAUGGAUGAGUCGAGAAAGACCCAAGUGAUGAAGUUUAAAAAACUUCUGGAUUGAAUCUUCGCAGAGUCGUUAUUUGCUUUGAAAGAUAUAGCAGAAUUCUACUGAAUAUUGAUAGCAACUUCUAGAGUCUGGGAGCGUAACCUCUCCCCUGCCCCAGGAGAAACGGAGGAAAUGACACCGAUCAGGAGGACAAAUCUGGUCUUGCUGCCACAAGCUGACACAAUGAGACAGACCUAGACACACAUACACUGCCACACAUUGCCUCCAAAGACGAUCAUCAAGGUGAAAGGCAAUGUGAACACUACGAUGGAGCAUCUGAGGUGCCAGCUGGCCUUCAGCUCUCCGUUGGUCAAGCCGUCUCUCCCGAGUGCCUCUCUAUAAAAAGAUACACCUUGAACUAAAUUUGCACUUUAUUCCUUUCAUCUCCCCUUGACUGGAACAAUAGUGUGAUAAAUCUGUCAUUGGUUUAGAGUAUGUUGCAUUAUUUCUUUCUUGGCUUAUUAUGAGCCCUUGUCCUGUACGCUACUGGCUUGUGAAACUGUUAUAAAUCCCACAGUGAGCCUGUGUUAAGUAAACUAUUGGCAAAGACAGUCUCAGUCUCUGAGCAUAAUUUUAUGCAAAAAAUAAUAUUGAAAAUAAUUGCAACUAUAUUAGUGACAAAGAGAAAAGAAUUUGGGGAAAAGAGCCACAUUUGGUGAGAUGUAAAGCAGACUCUAUCUAAUAGUUCUUAAUAUCAUUCAAGCAGAAAAUAAAUGACUGUGCCUUGAGAUGACUCUUUCCCAAUUCUCUCUACCUAUCAAAAUGCUGUCUGUUUUUUCCUCAAUCCAUCCAGUGGCUUGUUUUGUGGGGUGAAAUUAUAUUGUACUGUACUGGUAAAGCAUACUGUACUAGUAAAGCAUUCAUUAAUAUUUCUCAAAUACAAAAUUUUGUCUUUAACUCAAAAUGAGUAGUGGGAGCAAUAAUCUGCAAUUCCAUACAAAUUAAUAAGAAAUUAUUAUCAGGA